Molecule: long non-coding RNA, 1465 nt
Filed under: Homo sapiens (human)
Lineage: Eukaryota; Metazoa; Chordata; Mammalia; Primates; Hominidae
Description: long non-coding RNA NONHSAT158812.1
Source: RNAcentral
GAAUACAGUUAUAGAACUGGAAUUCGCUUUUUCAUGCUAAUUUCCCUGGAUACGUUCCAGAGGACAAGGACUGUGUUGUUCAUCACAGUAUUCCAGAACUUAAAAGGAACUGGCACAUAAUUGGAGCUUACUAAUAUUCGUCAAAAAAAUGAACAAAUGAGGCAAUGACAGUGGUCUUGUGAAGCCAUGCUGGGAAUACCACAGUAAAGGACCCAAGUCACAGCUGACUCAUGCCAUUGCUCUUUGUAAUGAGGUUCUGAACCUGCCACAGGACCAGCUCCUUUGGUGAGCGAAGUGUGUGAGCGAAGGAAAGAUUCUUGGGUAGAACUUCAUAAAGUCUGUCAUAAGAUCAGCCCCAGAGGAGGAGACUUUUCAGAUCCCAUCCCUCAUACACAUUCAGAAGGCCAAGGAAACACCCUCAGGAUUGAACUAUGAUAAAGAAGGCUGAAGAAACAGAUGGGCUUUUGGACUUGGACCUCAUCCAAGGAGCUGGCUGCCUGCACUUUCACAGACCGUCAGCUUCAUCCCCAGGCCCCAAAUCCUGAAUUUGCCGUGUCAAUGAAAAACCAUCAUCAGCUUUUCUUUACAUUAAAAACUGAUUGUGAUCAUAGCAGUUUUUCCUGUUUUCUGGGAUCACUGCUGCGAAGAGGAAAAGUCACCAGAGGAUAAAAUGACACACACGCAAACUCUUCUGUGGCUGAAAUUCCCCUCACUCUUCCUGCCUCUAACCGAAAAGGAGGAUACAGACCAAGGAGCACUUCAUGAAGGUAGUCGCCUCCCUGCCCUGCUGUUUUUCACCUUCAGGAAGAAUCACUCCCUCCCAAGUAGGACCUCUCCCUGGUCACUAUAAUCCCAUGAUUUGUAAUGUGGGCUUCAUUCCGCAAAAGCCCAGGGCUGGUGUUAUCUAGGAGUGAUGGCAGUCAUUUCCAGAUCAUGAGCAGUCGCACAGAUAAGGCAAAGGGCAACUCCUGCCUAGCAUGUGUGACCCAAGAGAUGACAGAGAAGAGAAGGGAGGAAUGCACUCCUUCACCUGGUCCCUCAGCACUGAGCCAGCCUCCCAUUUGUACAUGGAAGGAAAAAACCAAGGCCCAAGUCAUACAGCUAGUAAAAGGAGGAGCCACAAUUCAAACCAGGACUGAUUUCAAAAUUCGCAUUCCUUCCACUAUGCCAUGGAAAGUACAGUAGGGUGUUUUUAUGUCAACUGCAGCCAGACACAUCAAUUUUCUCCUCUGAGAGGACAGGAUAUAAAUCUGAAGAAACAAUGUAUAUGAAAAUAUGCUCUAUGCUAUAAGGCAAGAUUUAUAUGUAAGUCAGACAUAGCAGCACCAAGAGACAAAACAGACAGUGUUCACUAGGACGAACAAGCGGCUCAAAAGGCACUGGAGUUUCCCUGUAAGAACUACAAACACCACGGGAGUGAUGUUAACUCAGAUUUUUCCAUAUAAAAGAUUCUUCCUGUAAAAAU